CCCUUUGGGUGUGACUGCGUACCUUUUGUAUAAUGGGUCAGCGACUUAUAUUCUGUAGCAAGGUUAACCGAAUAGGGGAGCCGGAGGGAAACCGAGUCUUAAUUGGGCGUUAAGUUGCAGGGUAUAGACCCGAAACCCGGUGAUCUAGCCAUGGGCAGGUUGAAGGGUGGGUAACACUAACUGGAGGACCGAACCGACUAAUGUUGAAAAAUUAGCGGAUGACCUGUGGCUGGGGGUGAAAGGCCAAUCAAACCGGGAGAUAGCUGGUUCUCCCCGAAAGCUAUUUAGGUAGCGCCUCGUGAAUUCAUCUCCGGGGGUAGAGCACUGUUUCGGCUAGGGGGCCAUCCCGGCUUACCAACCCGAUGCAAACUGCGAAUACCGGAGAAUGUUAUCACGGGAGACACACGGCGGGUGCUAACGUCCGUCGUGAAGAGGGAAACAACCCAGACCGCCAGCUAAGGUCCCAAAGUCAUGGUUAAGUGGGAAACGAUGUGGGAAGGCCCAGACAGCCAGGAUGUUGGCUUAGAAGCAGCCAUCAUUUAAAGAAAGCGUAAUAGCUCACUGGUCGAGUCGGCCUGCGCGGAAGAUGUAACGGGGCUAAACCAUGCACCGAAGCUGCGGCAGCGACACUGUGUGUUGUUGGGUAGGGGAGCGUUCUGUAAGCCUGUGAAGGUGUGUCGUGAGGCAUGCUGGAGGUAUCAGAAGUGCGAAUGCUGACAUAAGUAACGAUAAAGCGGGUGAAAAGCCCGCUCGCCGGAAGACCAAGGGUUCCUGUCCAACGUUAAUCGGGGCAGGGUGAGUCGACCCCUAAGGCGAGGCCGAAAGGCGUAGUCGAUGGGAAACGGGUUAAUAUUCCCGUACUUGGUGUUACUGCGAAGGGGGGACGGAGAAGGCUAUGUUGGCCGGGCGACGGUUGUCCCGGUUUAAGCGUGUAGGUGUGUGUUCCAGGUAAAUCCGGUUCACUUUAACACUGAGGCGUGACGACGAGGCACUACGGUGCUGAAGCAACAAAUGCCCUGCUUCCAGGAAAAGCCUCUAAGCAUCAGGUAACAUCAAAUCGUACCCCAAACCGACACAGGUGGUCAGGUAGAGAAUACCAAGGCGCUUGAGAGAACUCGGGUGAAGGAACUAGGCAAAAUGGUGCCGUAACUUCGGGAGAAGGCACGCUGACACGUAGGUGAAGUGAUUUACUCAUGGAGCUGAAGUCAGUCGAAGAUACCAGCUGGCUGCAACUGUUUAUUAAAAACACAGCACUGUGCAAACACGAAAGUGGACGUAUACGGUGUGACGCCUGCCCGGUGCCGGAAGGUUAAUUGAUGGGGUCAGCGCAAGCGAAGCUCCUGAUCGAAGCCCCGGUAAACGGCGGCCGUAACUAUAACGGUCCUAAGGUAGCGAAAUUCCUUGUCGGGUAAGUUCCGACCUGCACGAAUGGCGUAAUGAUGGCCAGGCUGUCUCCACCCGAGACUCAGUGAAAUUGAACUCGCUGUGAAGAUGCAGUGUACCCGCGGCAAGACGGAAAGACCCCGUGAACCUUUACUAUAGCUUGACACUGAACAUUGAGCCUUGAUGUGUAGGAUAGGUGGGAGGCUUUGAAGUGUGGACGCCAGUCUGCAUGGAGCCGACCUUGAAAUACCACCCUUUAAUGUUUGAUGUUCUAACGUGGACCCGUUACCCGGGUUGCGGACAGUGUCUGGUGGGUAGUUUGACUGGGGCGGUCUCCUCCUAAAGAGUAACGGAGGAGCACGAAGGUUGGCUAAUCCUGGUCGGACAUCAGGAGGUUAGUGCAAUGGCAUAAGCCAGCUUGACUGCGAGCGUGACGGCGCGAGCAGGUGCGAAAGCAGGUCAUAGUGAUCCGGUGGUUCUGAAUGGAAGGGCCAUCGCUCAACGGAUAAAAGGUACUCCGGGGAUAACAGGCUGAUACCGCCCAAGAGUUCAUAUCGACGGCGGUGUUUGGCACCUCGAUGUCGGCUCAUCACAUCCUGGGGCUGAAGUAGGUCCCAAGGGUAUGGCUGUUCGCCAUUUAAAGUGGUACGCGAGCUGGGUUUAGAACGUCGUGAGACAGUUCGGUCCCUAUCUGCCGUGGGCGCUGGAGAACUGAGGGGGGCUGCUCCUAGUACGAGAGGACCGGAGUGGACGCAUCACUGGUGUUCGGGUUGUCAUGCCAAUGGCACUGCCCGGUAGCUAAAUGCGGAAGAGAUAAGUGCUGAAAGCAUCUAAGCACGAAACUUGCCCCGA
This 2235-nucleotide ribosomal RNA is filed under the name Salmonella enterica subsp. enterica serovar Enteritidis. RNAcentral describes it as "partial 23S ribosomal RNA". It matches the Rfam family "Bacterial large subunit ribosomal RNA", at positions 582 to 2802 of the family's 2925-position model. The record is from RNAcentral. Lineage: Bacteria; Pseudomonadati; Pseudomonadota; Gammaproteobacteria; Enterobacterales; Enterobacteriaceae.